AGAAUGUCUGCUUUCCUACCAGGAAGAGUGGCUUGGCCCUCUGCUGAGGCUCUCAGAGGUUCUCCCAGCCUUGGGAUCGCUGAGUAAAACCAGUCAGCACCAUGUCACCCUAUGGAGACUGGCCUCCAUCCCUGGGAUUUGCUGGUAGAAGAAAGGGAAUCAGCGCUGACUGAGCUCCUACUAUGUGCCCUUCCUGGGCCUGGCACUGGAAUCACAGGAUGAAUGAAUAAGGCAUAUUUCCUGCCCUGAGGAGGCGUCUAUAGGGGAAGUCGGAAUUAAGGCACCUCCAGAAUUCUGAGGUCAAGGGAAUGUCAACAGAGCUGUGAACAAAAUGCCCAAAGCCAUGAAAAUCUACAGAGAGAGACUCGAAGGGGAGGAAUGGGGCCAGGCUGAGGUCGGGAUGGUGGAGGAGG
This 413-nucleotide long non-coding RNA is filed under the name Homo sapiens (human). Its description in RNAcentral is "non-protein coding LINC01353:9". Lineage: Eukaryota; Metazoa; Chordata; Mammalia; Primates; Hominidae. The record is from RNAcentral.